RNAcentral lists this ribosomal RNA (440 nucleotides) under uncultured bacterium. RNAcentral describes it as "partial 16S ribosomal RNA". It matches the Rfam family "Bacterial small subunit ribosomal RNA", at positions 338 to 795 of the family's 1533-position model. The record is from RNAcentral.
CCUACGGGAGGCAGCAGUGGGGAAUAUUGCACAAUGGGGGAAACCCUGAUGCAGCGACGCCGCGUGAGUGAAGAAGUAUUUCGGUACGUAAAGCUCUAUCAGCAGGGAAGAAAAUGACGGUACCUGACUAAGAAGCCCCGGCUAACUACGUGCCAGCAGCCGCGGUAAUACGUAGGGGGCAAGCGUUAGCCGGAUUUACUGGGGGUAAAGGGAGCGUAGACGGCAGCGCAAGUCUGGAGUGAAAUCCCAUGGCUUAACCAUGGAACUGCUUUGGAAACUGUGCAGCUAGAGUGCAGGAGAGGUAAGCGGAAUUCCUAGUGUAGCGGUGAAAUGCGUAGAUAUUAGGAGGAACACCAGUGGCGAAGGCGGCUUACUGGACUGUAACUGACGUUGAGGCUCGAAAGCGUGGGGAGCAAACAGGAUUAGAUACCCUUGUAGUC